AGUCGGAGACGACACCCCGUUGCUGAGAAGUUGGUCAAACUUGGUCAUUUAGAGGAAGUAAAAGUCGUAACAAGGUUUCCGUAGGUGAACCUGCGGAAGGAUCAUUANUCGUACAAAAUGUGAGAGGGGCAUGCGAGGGCUGUCGCUGACUCAAAGUCGUGCACGCCCGAGUGUGUCGCCUCACAUAAUAAUCCAUCUCACCCUUUGUGCAUCACCGCGUGAUCAUCUCGGAGGGGGCUCGCGUUUUCACACAAAACCCCCCUUUUAAAAGUGUAGAAUGACCUCAUUUAUGCGCUAACCCGCAAUCAAUACAACUUUCAACAACGGAUCUCUUGGCUCUCGCAUCGAUGAAGAACGCAGCGAAAUGCGAUACGUAAUGUGAAUUGCAGAAUUCAGUGAAUCAUCGAAUCUUUGAACGCACCUUGCGCCCCCUGGUAUUCCGAGGGGCACACCCGUUUGAGUGUCGUGAAAACCUCAACCUCCUUGGUUUCUUCUGGAGACCAAAGCAGGCUUGGACUUUGGAGGCCUUUGCUGGCACCUCUCGCCAGCUCCUCUUAAAUGAAUUAGCAGGGUCCUCUUUGCUGAUCCUCGACGUGUGAUAAGAUGUUUCCAUGUCUUGGUUUCUGGCUCUGUCACNNCUUUGGGACCCGCUUCUAACCGUCUUCAACCUUGCGUUGAGACAACGUUCGAGCAUGUCUCCCUUCUCGGGAAGCUCCCUCGACCCCACGAACCCUUGACCUCAAAUCGGGUGAGACUACCCGCUGAACUUAAGCAUAUCAAUAAGCGGAGGAAAAGAAACUAACAAGGAUUCCCCUAGUAACUGCGAGUGAAGCGGGAAAAGCUCAAAUUUAAAAUCUGGCGGUCUUUGGCCGUCCGAG
This 878-nucleotide ribosomal RNA is filed under the name Lactarius rufus. RNAcentral describes it as "eukaryotic LSU rRNA". The stretch from base 313 to 466 matches the Rfam family "5.8S ribosomal RNA". The record is from RNAcentral. Lineage: Eukaryota; Fungi; Basidiomycota; Agaricomycetes; Russulales; Russulaceae.